Molecule: ribosomal RNA, 229 nt
Filed under: uncultured bacterium
Lineage: Bacteria
Description: partial 16S ribosomal RNA
Rfam family: Bacterial small subunit ribosomal RNA
Source: RNAcentral
CACGUAGGCGGCUGAGUGUGUCUGGUGUGAAAUCCCCCGGCCUAACCGAGGAAUUGCACUGGAAACUACUCGGCUUGAGGGCAGGAGAGGAGAGUGGAACUCCAGGUGUAGCGGUGAUAUGCGUAGAUAUCUGGAGGAACGCCGGAGGCGAAAGCGACUCUCUGGACUGUCCCUGACGCUGAGGUGCGAAAGCCAGGGGAGCGAACAGGAUUAGAUACCCUGGUAGUCC